GCCAGGUGUGGUGGCAGGUGCCUGUAGUCUCAGCUACUUGGGAGGCUGAGGCAGGAGGAUCACUAGAGCCCAGGAGUUCUGGGCUAUAGUGUGCUAUGCCCAUCGGGUAUCUGCACUAAGUUCAACAUUAUUAUGGUGACCUCCCGGGAGCAAGGAACCACCAGGUUGCCUAAGGAGUGGUGAACCGGCCCAGGUAGGAAACAGAGCAGGUCAAAACUCCCGCGCUGAUCAGUAGUGGGAUCACACCUGUGAAUAGCCACUGUACUCCAGCCUGGGCAACAUAGUGAGACCCUGUCUCU
RNAcentral lists this signal recognition particle RNA (299 nucleotides) under Gorilla gorilla gorilla (western lowland gorilla). RNAcentral describes it as "Metazoan signal recognition particle RNA (ENSGGOG00000036774.1)". It matches the Rfam family "Metazoan signal recognition particle RNA". Rfam says of the family: The signal recognition particle (SRP) is a universally conserved ribonucleoprotein. It is involved in the co-translational targeting of proteins to membranes. Lineage: Eukaryota; Metazoa; Chordata; Mammalia; Primates; Hominidae. The record is from RNAcentral.